CACACAGCUCAGUAACACGUGGCUAACCUGCCCUUGGGACAGAGACACCCCCGGGAAACUGGGGCUAAUCCCUGAUAGGCGAAGAACUCUGGAAUGAGUCUUCACCCAAAAGACGCUUAGAUCAUGCUUCUAGACGUUGCCCAAGGAUGGGGCCGCGACCGAUCAGGUUGUUGGUGAGGUAAUGGCUCACCAAGCCUAUAACCGGUGCGGGCCGUGAGAGCGGGAGCCCGGAGAUGGGCACUGAGACAAGGGCCCAGGCCCUACGGGGCGCAGCAGUCGCGAAAACUUUGCAAUAAGCGAAAGCUUGACGGGGCCAUCCCGAGUGCCAUCUGCUGAGGAUGGCUUUUACCCAGUAUAGAUAGCUGGGGGAAUAAGGAGAGGGCAAGUCUGGUGUCAGCCGCCGCGGUAAUACCAGCUCUCCGAGUUGUGGGGACGUUUAUUGAGCCUGAAGCAUCCGUAGCCGGCUGGGCAAGUCCUCUGUUAAAUCCAGCGACUAAUCGUUGGCCUGCGGGGGAUACUGCUCGGCUAGGGGGCGGGAGAGGCCGUCGGUAUUCUUGGGGUAGGGGUGAAAUCCUAUAAUCCCAGGAGGACCACCAGUGGCGAAGGCUGUCGGCUAGAACGCGCCCGACGGUGAGGGAUGAAAGCUGGGGGAGCGAACC
RNAcentral lists this ribosomal RNA (659 nucleotides) under uncultured archaeon. RNAcentral describes it as "bacterial SSU rRNA". It matches the Rfam family "Archaeal small subunit ribosomal RNA", at positions 82 to 725 of the family's 1478-position model. The record is from RNAcentral.